UGCACAUGGAGCUUUCAAUUAGUCUC
This 26-nucleotide non-coding RNA is filed under the name Mus musculus (house mouse). Lineage: Eukaryota; Metazoa; Chordata; Mammalia; Rodentia; Muridae. The record is from RNAcentral.